GGAGAUAUAGCUCAGGGAUAGAGCACCUGCUUAGUAUUCACAAGGUCCUGGGUUCAAUCCCUAGUAUCUCCA
This 72-nucleotide transfer RNA is filed under the name Camelus bactrianus (Bactrian camel). It matches the Rfam family "tRNA". From Rfam's summary of the family: Transfer RNA (tRNA) molecules are approximately 80 nucleotides in length. Their secondary structure includes four short double-helical elements and three loops (D, anti-codon, and T loops). RNAcentral also lists the same sequence under 2 other names. Lineage: Eukaryota; Metazoa; Chordata; Mammalia; Artiodactyla; Camelidae. The record is from Rfam by way of RNAcentral.